AGCUUUAUAGUCAAUCUAUGAUAUUAGACUGCAAUUCUAAAGGAGUAUUAAAUACUAAGGCUU
RNAcentral lists this transfer RNA (63 nucleotides) under Anatrichus pygmaeus. Its description in RNAcentral is "tRNA-Cys". The record is from RNAcentral. Lineage: Eukaryota; Metazoa; Arthropoda; Insecta; Diptera; Chloropidae.